This 397-nucleotide ribosomal RNA is filed under the name uncultured bacterium. RNAcentral describes it as "partial 16S ribosomal RNA". It matches the Rfam family "Bacterial small subunit ribosomal RNA", at positions 523 to 918 of the family's 1533-position model. The record is from RNAcentral.
AUACGUAGGGGGCGAGCGUUGUCCGGAAUGAUUGGGCGUAAAGGGCGCGUAGGCGGCCCGGUAAGUCUGGAGUGAAAGUCCUGUUUUUAAGAUGGGAAUUGCUUUGGAUACUGUCGGGCUUGAGUGCAGGAGAGGUAAGUGGAAUUCCCAGUGUAGCGGUGAAAUGCGUAGAGAUUGGGAGGAACACCAGUGGCGAAGGCGACUUACUGGACUGUAACUGACGCUGAGGCGCGAAAGUGUGGGGAGCAAACAGGAUUAGAUACCCUGGUAGUCCACACUGUAAACAAUGAAUGCUAGGUGUAGGGGGUAUCGACCCCUUCUGUGCCGCAGUCAACACAAUAAGCAUUCCGCCUGGGGAGUACGGCCGCAAGGUUGAAACUUAAAGGAAUUGACGGGG